UGUGCCCUACGGGAGGCAGCAGUGAGGAAUAUUGGUCAAUGGGCUAAGGCCUGAACCAGCCAAGUCGCGUGAGGGAAGACGGUCCUAUGGAUUGUAAACCUCUUUUGUCGGGGAGCAACGAGGCCACGUGUGGCCGAAGUGAGAGUACCCGAAGAAAAAGCAUCGGCUAACUCCGUGCCAGCAGCCGCGGUAAUACGGAGGGUGCGAGCGUUAAUCGGAAUUACUGGGCGUAAAGCGCUCGUAGGCGGUAUGUCAAGUCAAGGGUGAAAUCCCCGCGCUCAACGUGGGAACUGCCUUUGAAACUG
Molecule: ribosomal RNA, 305 nt
Filed under: uncultured bacterium
Lineage: Bacteria
Description: bacterial SSU rRNA
Rfam family: Bacterial small subunit ribosomal RNA
Source: RNAcentral